This 206-nucleotide long non-coding RNA is filed under the name Elaeis guineensis (African oil palm). RNAcentral's name for it is "long non-coding RNA (EGUI_LNC066964)". Lineage: Eukaryota; Viridiplantae; Streptophyta; Magnoliopsida; Arecales; Arecaceae. The record is from RNAcentral.
GCCAACCAUAUGAAAGGCCUGAAAGAAUUGGACAUGUCCUACUAUCUUGUCCCAUUUCUUCUUGAAUUUAGAUUGUGUGUGGACCACACUUUCAUAAUAGAUCCACUCUCAAACAUUGUUCUUAGAGAAUGGUAGGUAUUGAGCAACCAAACAAAUUAAUUAAAUUAAGAAAAAAGCAAAGCUAGUACAAAUAGAAGUAAAUAGAA